AUAGUGCCGUUCGUUCGUUUGUGUUUCGUUUGUGCUGGUUUGUGCUGCAAAAAUUGUACCGAUUGUGCCGGCUGCUACGGUUUUGCAGAUAUUACACAUUUAAUUCAUAGCGAAGACGUCACCCAGCCCCACGUCACUGUAUUUUGUCGCGAAUUUCAAGCUCCUGGAAUGCUCCUGAUGCAGGACGAAUACAAGGUCAUUAUAGAUCUCCCAGGCAUAUGCAGUCCUCCUGCAGUAUGCCACAUAAUGCCCGAGAGAAUCCUGGGUCAGUCCUGGUUCAAAGCCAAUGACUGCUCUCAAAGUAAAGGUCUUCUCUUUUAGCUCCAGACUGGAGGGAAAUUCAAGCAAGGCAACUUCCUUGCAACUGCUACCAAGAGUUUUGAAUGAAGACGGACACUGGGAAGGAUUUUCAAUUGGCCUGAGGCAGAGAGAGUCAGGAAGGCUGAGUCCCUCUUCA
This is a long non-coding RNA of Syngnathus typhle (broad-nosed pipefish), 457 nucleotides long. RefSeq lists it as uncharacterized. The record is from RefSeq and is a predicted model, not a curated record. The transcript has 3 exons. Lineage: Eukaryota; Metazoa; Chordata; Actinopteri; Syngnathiformes; Syngnathidae.